Long non-coding RNA from Mangifera indica (mango), 1100 nucleotides. RefSeq lists it as uncharacterized. NCBI's taxonomy places the organism in Eukaryota, Viridiplantae, Streptophyta, Magnoliopsida, Sapindales, Anacardiaceae. The transcript is spliced from 3 exons. The record is from RefSeq and is a predicted model, not a curated record.
CGAACUCGGACAAUCACAAUCACUGGCCACAGGACAAGAGGAGAAAAGAUUUAUUUAGCUGAGCUUCAAUGGCGAUGCACAACCAUCAAGAAACUAACGAGGAGAGACAGCGGUUCAGGCUGAUGAAAGUACAAGUCCCAGUGAGGACCUUAAUUUAGUUGAGAGUGGGAAAAAAACCCUUACCUAAGAAGACAAGAGUUGUUGCUUAACAGUGGACUUGAUGAGAGUCUCAUUGACACAUGCAUUGAGAAUGCUGGAGAAUUACUUAGAUCAAAUUUUGGCAGAGAAGUUUAGUAUGAGAUUCCAAGGGGGGGUAUGAUGACAUUCUCCGCCCAACUUCAGAUGACAAGCUGAACACCUUGCAUGAAGCUGUAGCAUCUGUUGCAGCAGAGGCUAAAAUCUGAAGAAUCAGAAGAGGAGCACAUCCUUGAAAAUUUCCAUUUCAGCCGCACCAUUAGGAAAUUGGUCUUCGACUGUCCCAUCUUUGCUUCCACUUUAUGGAAGAAAGCUCUGAAAGGGAAGUGUGAAGUGUGGUCUAUGCUUUGUGCUUGCUUUAAUUAAGAGUAAGAAAAAUAAAUGUGAUUUUGAUACUAUAUAUCGGCUCAAAUUGCUGUUGUUGCACUUGCAAGGUAGCCAGGCUUUCUUGGAAUACUCCGAUUUUAAGGUCCUUGAGUUAGCAAAAGAGGAGUUGCAACCUUUGCUAGAUAGUGGCAUUCUCAAAAUGCCUAAGACAAGAAAGCUGUAUAUGAAGGAUAGGGUGCUGAAUCCCAUGUUGUGGAAAGAGCAGGAAUUUUCUUUGUUGAUCGAACAGACUGUACAUAAUUUGGAUCACUGGCUGAUUAUAUUUGUCUUCAAUUUUGCUAUGGAGCAGAUCUCCAAGAUCAAGGCUUUUUCUUCUGGAUAACCCCCUGUUAUAUUCGUUGAUAAAAUAUAGAUGAAUUGCAUAAUCACCUAUGUAUACAUGUGUUUGAGGCCUCGAUCACUCAAGCUUGAAUGUAUGGUUGGCUCAAAUGAGCCAAACUUGAGCUUGACAACUUUGCUUGAGUUUGAGAAGUAGGCAUCUCUGCAAUGAAACUUUUCUUUCCCAGUGUUACUUUUUA